This is a non-coding RNA of Heterocephalus glaber (naked mole-rat), 1465 nucleotides long. The record is from RefSeq and is a predicted model, not a curated record. NCBI's taxonomy places the organism in Eukaryota, Metazoa, Chordata, Mammalia, Rodentia, Bathyergidae.
AUAGGCAAUAUAUUUGGCAUUAUUUGAGAUAAUUACUUAAUCAUUCUUUGAUACACAUGUGGUCUACUGGUUAUUAUGGUCUGUGUGUGUGUCCCCCCAAAACUCAUGCUUUGAAACAAUCUCCAGGGUGGCAGUAGUAGAGGGUGGGGCUUUGUGGAGGUGAUUAAGUCAUAAAGGCUUCACCUUUCUGAAUGGGAUUAGCACCUUAGGAAAGAAACCUCAGGGAGCUAGCUCACCCCUUCUGUUAUCUGCAGACACAAGAAAGCCCUGGCUGUGUGACAGGCUCCUCAGGAGGCACAGCGUCAGCCAGCACCAGAUCUUGGAAAUCCGAGCUUCCACAACUGAAGGUGAUGUUGCAUCCACUCCCAUAUUGAUGCUGACCUUGGCCAUGUGACUCACUUCCAUCAAAGAGGUGCCAGAAAAUGCCACAGAAGGAGGGAGCUGCAAGCUUCAAACUACUGCUGACUUCUAAUUAGGUUUGGCUGCAGAAGGCAUUGGUAUUUAUGGGGCGUCUGAGACCUUAUCUCAGACAGUUCAUGGUCUCCAACCUGGAUCCGGCUGUCUCCACAGCAGAUGCAGCAAUUGAUUCAAGGUCCUUCAGAGGUUCCAGCAAAUGUAGGACAGAGCUCUCCCUCGGUUCUAGUCCUAUUUCUGGGUGUCCCUUCGAAGUCUCUGGACCUCUUUCCACCAAGAGUCCUCGGACCAACUGUGCAGCAGCUUCACUGGUCCAAUACCUACUGUGUGAAGUGUCCGUGAGGAUCCAAGCCCUUCCUCAUGAUGCUCCCUUGGUGGAGUUACCACCUCCCUGGCUGAGAUUUGGAGCUCUGAUCACAACUGCCCCAAUUUUGCAUUCUUGCAGCCUGAGAGAGAGCAGCUGCUUGCUGUGUUAAUAACGUUGGUAUUAUUUCACCGUCCCCAUUGCUCUCCCUGCCUUUCUUGCAUUUUAAUGAACACCCUACAUUAAAUCCUAUGAAAAUCUGGAGCACUGUGUUUUUAUGACUUAAGGGAGAGAGAGAAAUGCUGCAUAGCCCAUUUAACAGUAAAUAUUUAAAUAUGUAUUAAACCUACUACUCCGGCAUCUAGACCCAACAUCUAAAUUUCUACUAUAGAAUUUUUCCCUCUGUUGCAAGUUGAGAAACUUUCCAACUUCACAAGUAAGGCUUUCAAAAAGUACAGAAAGUUUUCUACAAGAGAUUAGGCCACAGGGUAUGAAAGACCCUUGAAAACAUGAUUGCUCCUACAACCAAAUCUGAUACCCCACAUUGGAAUGCAGCAAGGUCUUUAUUCGAGCCAUACCAGCCAAACCACUUGUAUUUCCGUAAGUAUCAUAGAUUGAUGUGCAUUUUUAAUUUGCACAAAGCAUAUGUCUGUGUGGUCCCCUCAUGACACCUCACCCUUCACUCAUGCUCCUAAGAUUAUCAUCAAAACUCACAUUCUCACAGAAUCUUUCCUCACCCAGAAGAUA